This 627-nucleotide unclassified non-coding RNA is filed under the name Rhizopus arrhizus. RNAcentral describes it as "sequence contains 18S rRNA gene, ITS1, 5.8S rRNA gene, ITS2, 28S rRNA gene". The stretch from base 237 to 390 matches the Rfam family "5.8S ribosomal RNA". The record is from RNAcentral. Lineage: Eukaryota; Fungi; Mucoromycota; Mucoromycetes; Mucorales; Rhizopodaceae.
UCGUAACAAGGUUUCCGUAGGUGAACCUGCGGAAGGAUCAUUAAUUAUGUUAAAGCGCCUUACCUUAGGGUUUCCUCUGGGGUAAGUGAUUGCUUCUACACUGUGAAAAUUUGGCUGAGAGACUCAGACUGGUCAUGGGUAGACCUAUCUGGGGUUUGAUCGAUGCCACUCCUGGUUUCAGGAGCACCCUUCAUAAUAAACCUAGAAAUUCAGUAUUAUAAAGUUUAAUAAAAAACAACUUUUAACAAUGGAUCUCUUGGUUCUCGCAUCGAUGAAGAACGUAGCAAAGUGCGAUAACUAGUGUGAAUUGCAUAUUCAGUGAAUCAUCGAGUCUUUGAACGCAGCUUGCACUCUAUGGUUUUUCUAUAGAGUACGCCUGCUUCAGUAUCAUCACAAACCCACACAUAACAUUUGUUUAUGUGGUAAUGGGUCGCAUCGCUGUUUUAUUACAGUGAGCACCUAAAAUGUGUGUGAUUUUCUGUCUGGCUUGCUAGGCAGGAAUAUUACGCUGGUCUCAGGAUCUUUUUCUUUGGUUCGCCCAGGAAGUAAAGUACAAGAGUAUAAUCCAGCAACUUUCAAACUAUGAUCUGAAGUCAGGUGGGAUUACCCGCUGAACCUAAGCAUAUC